GGACGAUGGGGCUCUUAGGAUCAGAGGAUUGGAACCAUCUGAUUCCUCCGUCAGAUACUUAGUCUCGGGUGGUAUCCUGUGAUGGGGUAAGGAGUCCCCUCUUACCAUGUCUGGCUGGCGGCGACCCAGGUGCCAUGUGAUGGUCAUUUGAAGACAGGCCUGCCGGACAUCUGGUCUGCCAGGGUCCAGACACUUGCCUUCAGGAACCUGGGCUUUCAGCUGUCCAUACCUGGCCCUGGUUGAUGGCCCCAUGCUGGGCAGUGCAUGCGAAGACACACAUGCAUACUUUCUCUAAAAAGUCUGUUGGAAAAAUAAAGCAAAGGUAAGCUAUGAGAACUGAGGGAGAAUAAGAGGGAGGGAAGAAUGAGAGGCACAUAGUGGAGGUUAAAGUUAAUUUGUGUUAUGAACUGAAUAUAUGUCCCUCCAAAAUUCUUGUGUUGAAAUCUAAUCCCCAAAGUGUUGGGAUUAGGAGGUGGAGCCUCUGGGAGGUAGGUCAUGAGGGUGGAGCCUUCAUAGAUGGGAUUAGUGCCUUUAUGAGAAGAGGCCAGAGAGCUAGACUGCUCUCUUUCUGCCAUGUGAUGAGAUAAGGAGAAGAAGUUGGCUGUCUGCAACCUGGAACAGAGCCUUCACCAGAACCCUGACCUGCUGGCACCCUGAUCUUGGACUUCCAGCCUCCAGUACUGUGAGGAAUAAAUUUCUGUUGUUUAUAA
Microcebus murinus (gray mouse lemur) is the source of this 710-nucleotide non-coding RNA. NCBI's taxonomy places the organism in Eukaryota, Metazoa, Chordata, Mammalia, Primates, Cheirogaleidae. The record is from RefSeq and is a predicted model, not a curated record.